AUUGAACGCUGGCGGCAGGCCUAACACAUGCAAGUCGAGCGGACGAAGGGAGCUUGCUCCUGGAUUCAGCGGCGGACGGGUGGGUAAUGCCUAGGAAUCUGCCUGGUAGUGGGGGAUAACGUCCGGAAACGGGCGCUAAUACCGCAUACGUCCUGAGGGAGAAAGUGGGGGUUCUUCGGACCUCACGCUAUCAGAUGAGCCUAGGUCGGAUUAGCUAGUUGGUGGGGUAAAGGCCUACCAAGGCGACGAUCCGUAACAGGUCUGAGAGGAUGAUCAGUCACACUGGAACUGAGACACGGUCCAGACUCCUACGGGAGGCAGCAGUGGGGAAUAUUGGACAAUGGGCGAAAGCCUGAUGCAGCCAUGCCGCGUGUGUGAAGAAGGUCUUCGGAUUGUAAAGCACUUUAAGUUGGGAGGAAGGGCAGUAAGUUAAUACCUUGCUGUUUUGACGUUACCAACAGAAUAAGCACCGGCUAACUUCGUG
This 484-nucleotide ribosomal RNA is filed under the name uncultured bacterium. RNAcentral describes it as "partial 16S ribosomal RNA". It matches the Rfam family "Bacterial small subunit ribosomal RNA", at positions 30 to 507 of the family's 1533-position model. The record is from RNAcentral.